UCCUGUACGAUCACUGAAGUUAAGCAACAUUGAGCCUCAUCAGUACCUAGAUGGGUGACCGCUUGGGAAUAUCAAGUUGU
Non-coding RNA from Acanthosepion pharaonis, 80 nucleotides. NCBI's taxonomy places the organism in Eukaryota, Metazoa, Mollusca, Cephalopoda, Sepiida, Sepiidae. The record is from the annotation of a GenBank genome assembly.